Molecule: long non-coding RNA, 292 nt
Organism: Toxorhynchites rutilus septentrionalis
Lineage: Eukaryota; Metazoa; Arthropoda; Insecta; Diptera; Culicidae
Exons: 3
Source: RefSeq, a predicted model, not a curated record
GGUCCGAAAAAUAACUGAUUGAAACAUCAAACGGAUUUUCUUAAUCAAAGUUAAUCGAAAAUUUAAUUCAUGCAAUAGAUAAAAAUAUCUGGCUCAUGUUUACGCUGAUUAAUGUGGCAUGACGAGUUGACAACCUGAUAUAUUUUGAAGAGCAUAUAGCAAUCAUUCCAGUAUUAUCCAUUUCGUGGUUCGGAAAGCAAAUCUGCUCAAGAGAUCGAUGAUUAUCCUCGUAGUCACUUUUGCCAAUUCUCAUAAUCUGGCCAUGGCAGAAUGUUCACUUUAAUAAAAAAAA